Molecule: ribosomal RNA, 1450 nt
Filed under: Lactiplantibacillus plantarum
Lineage: Bacteria; Bacillati; Bacillota; Bacilli; Lactobacillales; Lactobacillaceae
Description: bacterial SSU rRNA
Rfam family: Bacterial small subunit ribosomal RNA
Source: RNAcentral
AUAUACAUGCAAGUCGAACGAACUCUGGUAUUGAUUGGUGCUUGCAUCAUGAUUUACAUUUGAGUGAGUGGCGAACUGGUGAGUAACACGUGGGAAACCUGCCCAGAAGCGGGGGAUAACACCUGGAAACAGAUGCUAAUACCGCAUAACAACUUGGACCGCAUGGUCCGAGUUUGAAAGAUGGCUUCGGCUAUCACUUUUGGAUGGUCCCGCGGCGUAUUAGCUAGAUGGUGGGGUAACGGCUCACCAUGGCAAUGAUACGUAGCCGACCUGAGAGGGUAAUCGGCCACAUUGGGACUGAGACACGGCCCAAACUCCUACGGGAGGCAGCAGUAGGGAAUCUUCCACAAUGGACGAAAGUCUGAUGGAGCAACGCCGCGUGAGUGAAGAAGGGUUUCGGCUCGUAAAACUCUGUUGUUAAAGAAGAACAUAUCUGAGAGUAACUGUUCAGGUAUUGACGGUAUUUAAACCAGAAAGCCACGGCUAACUACGUGCCAGCAGCCGCGGUAAUACGUAGGUGGCAAGCGUUGUCCGGAUUUAUUGGGCGUAAAGCGAGCGCAGGCGGUUUUUUAAGUCUGAUGUGAAAGCCUUCGGCUCAACCGAAGAAGUGCAUCGGAAACUGGGAAACUUGAGUGCAGAAGAGGACAGUGGAACUCCAUGUGUAGCGGUGAAAUGCGUAGAUAUAUGGAAGAACACCAGUGGCGAAGGCGGCUGUCUGGUCUGUAACUGACGCUGAGGCUCGAAAGUAUGGGUAGCAAACAGGAUUAGAUACCCUGGUAGUCCAUACCGUAAACGAUGAAUGCUAAGUGUUGGAGGGUUUCCGCCCUUCAGUGCUGCAGCUAACGCAUUAAGCAUUCCGCCUGGGGAGUACGGCCGCAAGGCUGAAACUCAAAGGAAUUGACGGGGGCCCGCACAAGCGGUGGAGCAUGUGGUUUAAUUCGAAGCUACGCGAAGAACCUUACCAGGUCUUGACAUACUAUGCAAAUCUAAGAGAUUAGACGUUCCUUUCGGGGACAUGGAUACAGGUGGUGCAUGGUUGUCGUCAGCUCGUGUCGUGAGAUGUUGGGUUAAGUCCCGCAACGAGCGCAACCCUUAUUAUCAGUUGCCAGCAUUAAGUUGGGCACUCUGGUGAGACUGCCGGUGACAAACCGGAGGAAGGUGGGGAUGACGUCAAAUCAUCAUGCCCCUUAUGACCUGGGCUACACACGUGCUACAAUGGAUGGUACAACGAGUUGCGAACUCGCGAGAGUAAGCUAAUCUCUUAAAGCCAUUCUCAGUUCGGAUUGUAGGCUGCAACUCGCCUACAUGAAGUCGGAAUCGCUAGUAAUCGCGGAUCAGCAUGCCGCGGUGAAUACGUUCCCGGGCCUUGUACACACCGCCCGUCACACCAUGAGAGUUUGUAACACCCAAAGUCGGUGGGGUAACCUUUUAGGAACCAGCCGCCUAAUGG